This 406-nucleotide ribosomal RNA is filed under the name uncultured bacterium. RNAcentral describes it as "partial 16S ribosomal RNA". It matches the Rfam family "Bacterial small subunit ribosomal RNA", at positions 30 to 526 of the family's 1533-position model. The record is from RNAcentral.
AUUGAACGCUGGCGGUAGGCCUAACACAUGCAAGUCGAACGAGUGGCGGACGGGUGAGUAAUGUCUGGGAAACUGCCUGAUGGAGGGGGAUAACUACUGGAAACGGUAGCUAAUACCGCAUACCAUCGGAUGUGCCCAGAUGGGAUUAGCUAGUAGGUGGGGUAAAGGCUCACCUAGGCGACGAUCCCUAGCUGGUCUGAGAGGAUGACCAGCCACACUGGAACUGAGGCACGGCCCAGACUCCUACGGGAGGCAGCAGGGGGGAAUAUUGCACAAUGGGCGAAAGCCUGAUGCAGUCAUGCCGCGUGUAUGAAGAAGGCCUUCGGGUUGUAAAGUACUUUCAGCGGGGAGGCGUUACCUGCAGAAGAAGCACCGGCUAACUCCGUGCCAGCAGCCGCGGUAAUAC